RNAcentral lists this small nuclear RNA (134 nucleotides) under Volvox carteri f. nagariensis. RNAcentral's name for it is "U4 spliceosomal RNA". It matches the Rfam family "U4 spliceosomal RNA". From Rfam's summary of the family: U4 small nuclear RNA (U4 snRNA) is a component of the major U2-dependent spliceosome. The structure of U4 snRNA from yeast and human has been reported. The record is from Rfam by way of RNAcentral. Lineage: Eukaryota; Viridiplantae; Chlorophyta; Chlorophyceae; Chlamydomonadales; Volvocaceae.
AUCUUUGCGCUUAGGGCAAUGUCACAGCCUGUGGGAUCUAAUCGGGGCGCGACUAUUGCUGGUUGGAAACCUAUUCCUUCCCCGUCGGUCGUACCCUUUCGGGACAUUCCGCAAUAUCUGUUCAACACCAGCGU